UAUCCAUUGGAGGGCAAGUCUGGUGCCAGCAGCUGCGGUAAUACCAGCUCCAAUAGCGUAUAUUAAAGUUGUUGCAGUUAAAAAGCUCGUAGUUGGACUUGUGUGCGCUGUCCGCGGGUGGCCUGCGCCCAAAAGAGCGUUUCGGUUCGGCCCCGGUGGCGCCUUGAAAUCUGCAGCUGGGGGGACGUUGGCCUUAACUGGUCGGCGACCGCACGCCGGCUGCUCGGUUACUGUGAGAAAAUUAGAGUGUUCAAGGCAGGCAUUGGGUGCAAUUGAAUACAUUAGCAUGGAAUAAUAAAAUAUGGCUCCUGCCGUAUUUUGUUGGUUUUGACUGGUGGGAGUAAUGAUAGAUAGGGACGGUUGGGGGUGCUAGUAUUGAGCGGCCAGAGGUGAAAUUCAUGGAUUCGCUCAAGACUAACUUAUGCGAAAGCAUUCACCAAGGACGUCCUCUUUAAUCAAGAACGAAAGUUGGGGGAUCGAAGACGAUCAGAUACCGUCGUAGUCUCAACCAUAAACUAUGUCGACUUGGGAUCGGCGGUAGUUUUUUCAUUAAGACACUGUCGGGACCACGGGAGAAAUCAAAGUGUCUGGACUCUGGGGGAAGUAUGGUCGCAAGGCUGAAACUUGAAGGAAUUGACGGAAGGGCACCACCAGGAGUGGAGCCUGCGGCUUAAUUUGACCCAACACGGGGUAACUUACCAGGUCCAGAGAUGUAGAGGAUUGACAGAUUGAAGCUCUUUCUUGAUCACUUCGGUGGUGGUGCAUGGCCGUUCUUAGUUGGUGGAGUGAUUUGUCUGGUUAAUUCCGUUAACGAUCGAGACCUCAGCCUGCUAGUGUAGUCGGCUGGAUUGCCUUUGGCGAUCCGUGAUUUCGACUUCUUAGAGGGACAAUCGACGCGCAGUCGAUGGAAGUUUGAGGCAAUAACAGGUCUGUGAUGCCCUUAGAUGUUCUGGGCCGCACGCGCGCUACACUGCUGGGCUCAGCGAGUUUUACUUGGCCGAGAGGCCCGGUUAAUCUUGUGAAAUCCCAGCGUGCUUGGGCUCGCCUCCUGCAACUGGAGGCGCCAACGAGGAAUUCCUAGUAGACGCAGGUCAUCAACCUGCAUCGAUUACGUCCCUGCCCUUUGUACACACCGCCCGUCGUUCCAUAAGAGUGAGGCAUCCGGUGAAUUCUCGGGAGAGCCUGGGCGUGGCCAGCAAUGGUCUGCUCGGGUUUGAACUUGCAUAAACUUGGUGCCUAUGAUUAGGGAAAAGUCGUAACAAGGUUUCCGUAGGUGAACCUGCGGAAG
RNAcentral lists this ribosomal RNA (1288 nucleotides) under metagenome. Its description in RNAcentral is "SSU rRNA". It matches the Rfam family "Eukaryotic small subunit ribosomal RNA", at positions 542 to 1823 of the family's 1831-position model. The record is from RNAcentral.